CGCAAGGACAGUCCAGCUUCCCAGCCUGCCCCGACUUCCUAAGCACUGCUACGGCGUCAGGAAGGUCAGAGAACUGACGCAAAGACGUCCUCUCCAGCACCGUCUUGAUCACUGGAAAGCGUUCUGACCUUGGGAAGAGGGGGUCGUCCACCCUCACAGCCCCCGCAUUCGGCUUUUCCUAGGGGUAAACCCGCUGCAGAGAGAGGCACAAAGGGCCUGUGCUGCCACAGACGCUUAUGCUCCCCCAGGGCAAUGGAGAAAUAAACGAGGCAUUUGCAUUUCACAACAGAUGAGGCUGGGACCAAAUGGAAACUCCACGGGCACUGCGGACCCCUCUUCCACCAGAGGAGCUGCAGCCUGAGACCAGCACCUGGCUCACUGCCAGCUCGGCCACCUCCUGGUCCAGGGGCUCUGGGCCAGUUACUUAAACUCUGCACCUCAGUUUCCCCGUCAGUAAAACUAGGUGAUUAACAACACUCGCUUGGCAGGGCUGCCAGUAGAAUUAGAAACACUGCAUUGAGCUUUCAAUGUGUGGCUGGCAUUGUAUAAACGAACAGCCCACAUGAGACAGAAGCACCCCUGCCUGGAGAAGCUACCCCGCCAUGCCCACCGCACCCAAACCAACAACACAGAAGGGAGAGACUGGAAACUGCUGCUGACAGUUUUUGAGAUGAUUGCCUCGUCCUCACCUUGCUCCCCCAUCUCACACUGGAGAAAGUGUAGUUGUUUUCACUCAGGCUUUGUUAUCGUCAAAAUUAGCCAGUGCAAUUUCUCACAGGAAGGGCAUAUGGGCACAACUAUUUGUUAUUGUUAUGUCAUUUCUCCUGUGUGGGCCAAUUCUCACAUUCAAAAUUGUUCACACAUUCCCUCCUCCUAAACUUCUCCACCAAAAUGUUAGCCAAUUUUAGAACAACUAUUUGGUUAGGAAGUGUUUUGCAUUGAAAAGUAAUAUAGACUGAUAUUCCUGGAAUAAACCAUUUGAAAGUUAUCUUAAAUUUACCCCUGUCUUAUCUCAUGGAAACAAAGAGACAGAGAACAUUCUAGAGUUGGGAAGGAUCCUGGACAUGACUGUUAUACAAUCACUCAACCGGUGUGAAAUUUUUUAUCCUCUUUGAAAGAUUCCCUAGAACGGAUAAUCUAUCAGUCAUGGUUUUAAUAGCCCUUUGGCCAUUUUCAAAUAUCAACUAUGCCCCUUUUUAUGACAGUGG
Equus caballus (horse) is the source of this 1208-nucleotide long non-coding RNA. The record is from Ensembl. NCBI's taxonomy places the organism in Eukaryota, Metazoa, Chordata, Mammalia, Perissodactyla, Equidae.